Pelobates cultripes (western spadefoot toad) is the source of this 361-nucleotide non-coding RNA. NCBI's taxonomy places the organism in Eukaryota, Metazoa, Chordata, Amphibia, Anura, Pelobatidae. The record is from the annotation of a GenBank genome assembly.
GAUCUAUAUGCACAAACCAAUUAAUCAUACAUUGAAUGAGUCUGUACAUCUACAUUAUGUAGCAGGGCUUGACAUUUUAAAUCAUGUGCUACUAGACCAGCCUAAAAGUUACUAGCUGGUCCAAGCUUGGAGGAUCUAUUGCACACUCACCAGGGGAUUCUACAUGCCAGAGCGGAUGUUUUAAUUGCUAAUGGCUAAACAAUGCACUUAGGGUUAUAUUGUAUACGUCCUUAUAACUCAAAUGCACAAAUCAUCGAGUUCCAUUACCUUACCUGAUUUGUAGAGAAAAGCAGACAGACAAAUUGUAGCAAUGAGGACUCCACCAAUUAUGAUCUCUAUCAGGAAUUUGUGUUGAGGAGGG